Molecule: ribosomal RNA, 253 nt
Filed under: uncultured bacterium
Lineage: Bacteria
Description: partial 16S ribosomal RNA
Rfam family: Bacterial small subunit ribosomal RNA
Source: RNAcentral
GACAGAGGGUGCAAACGUUGUUCGGAAUUACUGGGCGUAAAGCGCGUGUAGGCGGCCCUGCAAGUCGGAUGUGAAAUCCCACGGCUCAACCGUGGAAGUGCAUUCGAAACUGCAGGGCUAGAGUCCUGGAGAGGAAGGUGGAAUGCUUGGUGUAGAGGUGAAAUUCGUAGAUAUCAAGCGGAACACCGGUGGCGAAGGCGGCCUUCUGGGCAGUGACUGACGCUGAGACGCGAAAGCGUGGGGAGCAAACAGG